ACGAGUGAAGAUUAUGACGGUAACUCGUGAAUAAGGGUCUGCUAACUACGUGCCAGCAGCCGCGGUCAUACGUAGGACCCAAGCGUUAUCCGGAAUUACUGGGCGUAAAGAGUUGCGUAGGUGGCAAUGUAAGCAGGGUGUGAAAGCGUGUGGCUCAACCAUACAGACAUACUCUGAACUGCAUAGCUAGAGUGUAGGAGAGGUACCUGGAAUUUCUAGUGUAGGAGUGAAAUCCGUAGAUAUUAG
RNAcentral lists this ribosomal RNA (246 nucleotides) under uncultured prokaryote. RNAcentral's name for it is "partial 16S ribosomal RNA". It matches the Rfam family "Bacterial small subunit ribosomal RNA", at positions 438 to 700 of the family's 1533-position model. The record is from RNAcentral.